GUAGGUGAACCUGCGGAAGGAUCAUUAAAGUGUUUGGGUCCCCUCGGGGGCCCUACAUCCCACCCUCCUGAAGUUUAGAAAACACCGUUGCUUUGGCGGACCGGUGCCCCUCGGGGCGCCGCCGGGCCUCCAGCCCGGAGAGCGUCCGCCAGAGGACCGUCAAACACAAGCUACAACCAGAAGUCAGAGUAACAAAACAAAUGAAAUUAAAACUUUCAACAACGGAUCUCUUGGUUCUGGCAUCGAUGAA
This 250-nucleotide unclassified non-coding RNA is filed under the name plant metagenome. Its description in RNAcentral is "partial contains small subunit ribosomal RNA, internal transcribed spacer 1, and 5.8S ribosomal RNA". The record is from RNAcentral.